This 490-nucleotide ribosomal RNA is filed under the name uncultured bacterium. Its description in RNAcentral is "partial 16S ribosomal RNA". It matches the Rfam family "Bacterial small subunit ribosomal RNA", at positions 30 to 507 of the family's 1533-position model. The record is from RNAcentral.
AUUGAACGCUGGCGGCAGGCCUAACACAUGCAAGUCGAACGGUAACAGAAAGCAGCUUGCUGCUUUGCUGACGAGUGGCGGACGGGUGAGUAAUGUCUGGGAAACUGCCUGAUGGAGGGGGAUAACUACUGGAAACGGUAGCUAAUACCGCAUAACGUCGCAAGACCAAAGAGGGGGACCUUCGGGCCUCUUGCCAUCGGAUGUGCCCAGAUGGGAUUAGCUAGUAGGUGGGGUAACGGCUCACCUAGGCGACGAUCCCUAGCUGGUCUGAGAGGAUGACCAGCCACACUGGAACUGGGACACGGUCCAGACUCCUACGGGAGGCAGCAGUGGGGAAUAUUGCACAAUGGGCGCAAGCCUGAUGCAGCCGUGCCGCGUGUAUGAAGAAGGCCUUCGGGUUGUAAAGUACUUUCAGCGGGGAGGAAGGGAGUAAAGUUAAUACCUUUGCUCAUUGACGUUACCCGCAGAAGAAGCACCGGCUAACUCCGUG